UUGAAACACUGGUUCCCAUUUGAUCAUCGAAGUUAAGCAACAUUGAACCAGGUCAGUACCUAGAUGGGUCAUCACUUGGGAAUACCAGGUGCUGUAA
Molecule: non-coding RNA, 97 nt
Organism: Acanthosepion pharaonis
Lineage: Eukaryota; Metazoa; Mollusca; Cephalopoda; Sepiida; Sepiidae
Source: the annotation of a GenBank genome assembly